GUCUGACUCGAGAGAGAAGCGGUAGCGUUAUACGGGGGCACACAAAGAGAAGCCCGCGUUCUGUCGGUAAACAGGAGACAAGAACGCGUGACGACGACUCGAGCCGGAAUCAGUGGGUCAGUGGUGUGCUCGCUGACGAAUCCGAAAAAAAACGAACAGGAUCAUUCGAUACGACAUCCUUGGUCGAGGCACGUUUGCGGCUUCUCCGCAACGCAUUCGUCAGCCGUGCUCUUUGACAACGUCGGCUUCUCUCAUUCAAAAGCGGUCACGAACUACGCAGCUGAGACUGGCGUUGAGCCGCUCCUCGUGCCUGCCUAUGCUCCCUGCGUCGGUCAAGUCAGAGGCGUCUUCGUGGUGAUCAAAUGUCAUGUUUGCGUUCACGGAUCAAUGCACGAGCACUUCGCAUCCCGAACACCGGUCUUCCGCAAAUCGUGCUUCGACCAGUGGUGAUCGUCGAUUCCAGGUACGGCCGGUUCCCCGUGGCCAACGCUGUACCUCUUCAUCCGGAGGAGAGAUCCAACGCCUGGAUGGAGAGUAAUCGGAUCUGCUCAAUUCUUCCGGGGCUCGUUAUCUUCGGGCGUCCGGCGGCAUGCCAGUGAAUGGAAUACCGACUUCCGCAUCCAUAUCGACGCUCUCAGCACAGUAUCUAAGAGAAGCGAGUCUUUCUGCGCUGUAUUCAGGGUGCGUCCAUGAGACCGCGCUGCGGUCGUCGACGAUUUUCGGUAGCAUCGCGUCAAGGAGCGCGUGCUCACGAAAUGAUUCUUCGAGUUGGAAACGGAGAUCGCUGAUAACUCGCGUUCUCCCAUCGUAGCUGAUGGCGCUGGACAUGCUGGAGCGCGCAGAGCCAGCACUCCUGAUUCUAUGAUAAGCGCGUAUCCAACAAGUGCAGUCAUCGAUUUUACACGAUUCCCGUCGAUGCGUUGAGGGUGCCGUCCACGAAUCAUGGGCAGGUUUGCACCUUGAAACAACUCGGUAAGCAGUGCGUGAAACAGAGACAGAUGUCCGAGAUUGGUGCACGAACCGUUAACCGAAAGUCGAAUGGCGCGAAAAAUCGAAAGUGAGCGGCUCGCUAGCGUCUGCUGCCACCAGCAGCAACCGAGCGCACAAGCACUUUCCUUACCGAGAUCUGAACGCCUCAAUCAACCUUCGGAAAUAUCGUCUGUUUCCAAAGCGUCUACUGGUUCUGUAUCGAACGCACGCUCGAAGGAAUCGUUGCGUACGUCGUGCUGAUAUGUUGCUGAAAUGCAGGAUACUUUCCAUGAAAAAUAAAUCCGUGGCUCCGCGAGAUGCAUCGCCACCUUGUGCGAGACAUUCAUAUGGUACGAUCAAUAAUCCAGGAAGACCAGCUCGCUGUAUGGAUAUACAGCGAACGGUCUCCGGGCGUCACCGCAGACCCAUAAAA
This is an RNA transcript of Cyanidioschyzon merolae strain 10D, 1402 nucleotides long. RefSeq lists it as hypothetical. The record is from RefSeq and is a predicted model, not a curated record. The transcript has a single exon. NCBI's taxonomy places the organism in Eukaryota, Rhodophyta, Bangiophyceae, Cyanidiales, Cyanidiaceae.